GCUUACUUAGCAUAAUUAAUAAUGCGUGUAAUUUGUAAUUAUAAGAUCAAAUAUUAUUUUUGAGUAAGCU
Molecule: transfer RNA, 70 nt
Filed under: Salpa fusiformis
Lineage: Eukaryota; Metazoa; Chordata; Thaliacea; Salpida; Salpidae
Description: tRNA-Thr
Rfam family: tRNA
About the family: Transfer RNA (tRNA) molecules are approximately 80 nucleotides in length. Their secondary structure includes four short double-helical elements and three loops (D, anti-codon, and T loops).
Source: RNAcentral